GGCGAGGGAGGGAGCGGGCGAGGGAGGAGGGAGGGAAGGAGCGAGGGAGGGAGGCGGCGUCUCCUUUAAAAGCCGUGCGGGGCCGCAGCCCGCUCCCACAGGGCGGCUGUGAUUGGCGCGGGCCCCCGAGCCUCCGGGGUCGUGACAUCGCCGCGCAACAAAAAGCCCCGGCGGCGGCGGCGGGCGGCCACCCCCGGCCAUGGUGCGGUGCGGGGCCGGCGGGGAGCCCGGCGCGGUGCCCUAGCGCGGCCGCUCCACGCGGGACGGCGGCGGGCGGCUCCCCACCCCUUUUUUUUUUUUUUUUUUCCUCUUUUAUUUACCCUCCUCCCUCCUUUUGCCUUUCUUUUUUAAGGGAGCGGAGACAAGUCAAGCUUCAUCUUGAUGUUGCUGCGGGAAUCUCGGUAAAUGUCCAUCUGUCUGAUGAGCGUGAUGCAAAGGACAUUUUUGAAAAGGAGCCUUUUAACUCCGUAGACACGUAGGGACCCAUUCACGGGCAGGCACACACACGCGAGGAGGAGGAAGAAGAAGAAGCAACUUCACGAUCGCUGCUUUUAAAAGGGAGAAGCUUUUUCCCUGGCUGGGACUUGCCUUCUGCCUCCUCAACCAGCUGCUAAAAGUAUGUUUCCGAGGCGGACUGCACUUCAGGGAACUUCUAUUUUCUGCUCGGCAGCUGUAGAGGAGCAGCAGCGAAGUUUGGAGUAACACCAAGUGAUGCGGGAAAAACACCCCGAGAGCAGAACACCCUCCUGCAGACACAACCCCUGCUGCUGCACACAGGUUGAUCAUGGUUGCCGUGACCCGCUCGCUCCUGGCGCUGCUGCUCUGCCAGGCGCUGCUGGGCGGCGCGGCCGGGCUCAUGCCGGAGGUGGGUCGGCGGCGCUUCAGCGAGCCGGGCCGCGCCGCCUCGGCCGCGCAGCGCCCCGAGGACCUGCUCAGCGAGUUCGAGCUGCGCCUGCUCCACAUGUUCGGGCUGAAGCGGCGGCCCAGCCCCGGCAAGGACGUCGUCAUCCCGCCCUACAUGCUGGACCUCUACCGCCUGCACGCGGGGCAGCAGCUGGGGCAGCCGGCGGCGCUGGGCUUCCCGCUGGAGCGGGCGGCCAGCCGCGCCAACACCGUCCGCAGCUUCCACCACGAAGAAGUUUUGGAAGAACUGCCAGAAACGAGUGGGAAAACAGCGCGGCGUUUCUUCUUUAAUUUAACUUCCAUCCCUACCGAGGAGUCUAUCACCUCAGCCGAACUGCAGAUUUUUCGGAAACAGGUGCACGGAGCCUUUGAGAACAACAGCAGCUACCAUCACCGUAUUAAUAUUUAUGAAAUUAUAAAGCCAGCCACAGCCACCUCUAAGGACCCUGUCACAAGACUUUUGGACACCAGAUAAGCAUCUCUCUAAACACAAAUGUGAUCAGCAUGUCUCCUUGUCCUUUUGAGACUCAGUAGCAGCUUUGUCGAGUGGCUUGAUAAUUUUUGCGCAAAAUUCAGUUGGACUUCUGAGGUCAGCAGCAUGUAGAGGAGGAUCUUCAGUUGAGGAAUACAAGGGGAAACAAAACCAGGAAAGGACGGAGGAGCCACACGUGUGCCUGGCAGCUGGGGACUUGGCAGUCUGACUCCUGCUCCAAGCCCUGCCUUCAGAGUUCAGCCUGACCUCAGGUAAACUGCACCACAGCUUCCCCACUGCUCAGAAAUAGUUAAAUACACCAUUCAUUCCAGAGCAUUUACAAACCAACAGGUGGGAAGCAUCACCUUGGAGCCAAGCACCUGUAAAAUUGCUUGCUAAGGUAUGUGCUCCCAAAUUCAAGGCAUGGAAAACCCAAGGGUUUCAUAACAAAAUGUGGAAAACCCCCUACAAAUAUUCCAACACUCCCUUUCAGGCCACACCCCAAAGCAAGUGAGACUAUAAUGGACAAAUCCGCCUCUGGCAGGGGGCCAGAGCCAGAGCACCCUUUGCCCAGUCUCAGCCUACUCCAGCCCAUGCAAAAUCCCUGUGGGAAGAGGCUGGCACAGCCCAGGCACUCCACGGCACUGUCCCUCUGCUCAUGGCAGCAGUGCCAGCUCAUGGUUAGCGUCUCGGUGUCUGGCCAAGGCACAUGGCAGACGGCUGUCUGAACCUGGGACCUGGGAAAAUGGGGAUAACAUCAGGAAAAAACAAAACCACCCUACGUAGCUGCUGCUCCAUCUCGUCCUGCGCUGGGAGAUGCCUCCUUGCCAUGGACUGAGUCAGUGCCUGGUCCCGUGGUCCUCAGCUCUCCACGGAGCUGCUGCUGCUCCAGGCUCGGGGCUCCUGGCAUGUGCCAUCCCACGGGCUGUGUCCCAUCUGCUGCCACAGGCAGCACUGGGGGCAGUGGCUAUUUGCACCCUGUUUGGGCUGGUUUGGCCCCCCUGUGUGGGUGUAAUGCAGCUCCCCAGCAGGUCAGGAUGGAGCAACAGCCCCUACCCAGGAGUGUUCACUGGCUCCUUUGAAAAAUCUCCCCAGAUGUUCAUGGCAUCUUAGGUUACCACAAAGUAUCUGCCUGGAUCUGGGCUUUGAUUCUCUACUCUGUAGCUUUAUUCCAGGCUGGCUGGGGCAGUGCCUUUCCCUCAGAGACCACAACUGACAGUUCUUCUCUCCGGGAGAGGGAGGAAUGGGGCAGCGGUUGUGUUUUGGGGGAGAGGGAAAGGCUGUUUGAGGCCAUGGGGCAGCUGCAGAGCUGGUGAGGAUGGUCAGGAAUCACCUUUUUCCUUCUCUGGGGGGGAUGGUGAGGUGGACGUCUCACCUCUGCCAGCUGUAACAGACGUGGGGGGCUGGGCUCCAGCAGUAGAUGUGUCACCUCCCCCAUCUGCUCUGCUGGUGAGAGUGGCUUCAUCCUGCAAAAUAAGCACAGAGAGAGAAGCUGAAAUUGCCAAGUGGGAAUUCAGUUUGUAUUAACUCUGAGAGCUGGCCAAAGAAGGAGAAAACAUCCAUCUCAGGAGGGUUUUCAAGAUUUGGACACUUGGCUUCACGUUUGGGUAUGUUCAAACGUGAUCUGUCAACUCCCAUCACAGGAAACAAGAGGAAGAACAAACAACUCAGGCUGCUAAAGUCAGGGCUGCCAUGGUUAGAAAGUUCAUGAAGCACAUGGCUAAAAAUAGGUUAGUCUGAACCCAUGAUGUGAACACAACUCCACACUCCACAACUGGUUAUUGUGGGGUUCCUUUCUCUCUUGUGCUAAAUCCUGGAACAUUAGGAAGUGAAAUGCAAAAACAGCUCUUAAAAGUAAUAAUAGCCCUCCUACCAAAAUUAAAGCUCAGCUGUGCAACUUCCACAUUCCUCAGCCAUGCACUUGUGUCUGAGAAAAUUCAUGGUAAAGAUUUUACUUACCUGAGCUUUGGGUGUCUCCAUUAUUAGUAGGCCACAAACGAACUGAGUGGAUGAUGCAAAAAUGAGUGCCAAUAAAAUAUUUA
Molecule: RNA transcript, 3417 nt
Organism: Motacilla alba alba
Lineage: Eukaryota; Metazoa; Chordata; Aves; Passeriformes; Motacillidae
Gene: BMP2
Gene name: bone morphogenetic protein 2
Exons: 5
Source: RefSeq, a predicted model, not a curated record